UGGGCACCCCCAGUCUUUCUAUCCUCCUCAUUCGUCUAGGGGCACCCGAAUCCCCUAUGCCUUAUUUCCCCUAUCACUCAGGCACUGGCAGGGUCCUUUGCCCACUCCUGUUGGCCGCCGCGGCUCCAAAGCGAGAUGUGCCUGAGACAGGUUUGACCCGCCAACUGAAAAGACAUCCCUAAGAGAAGACAAAGCAAAGGUAUGAAAGGAACACACGUCCCUGACUUACUAGGAGGAACAGAGCUGCCUGCUGUCUGGAACCGCUUCCUCCCAGACUAAGUGAGAAAUAAACUUCUGUUUUCUAUAUGC
Molecule: long non-coding RNA, 309 nt
Filed under: Pongo abelii (Sumatran orangutan)
Lineage: Eukaryota; Metazoa; Chordata; Mammalia; Primates; Hominidae
Description: lincRNA
Source: RNAcentral